AAAAUUGUAUAUAUACAGUUUAGUACUAUCUGUGAUCUCAGGCAUCCACUGGGGGUCUUGGAAAAUAUUCCCUGUGAAUAAGGGAGGAGUACUAUAUAUGUUUUGGUAUUACCUUAUUGAAAUAUUUUGUAUACUUAUUUGUAUAUACAUGUCCUGUCAAAUUAAAUACUAUGCUUUAGUAAUUUCAUCUAGGAUUUCCAAAUAUUUAGCAUUAUAAAUUUUGACCCUAUGUUUUCUGGAAUUUAAAAUAACAUAAUUGGAAUGUCUUCAUUGGGGUUUGUGUACCUUAAUAAUAAAAGUAUCUUUUCAUGGGGUGUCUGGCUGGCUCAGUCAAAAAAGCAUUCAAGUCUUGACCUUGGAGUCAUGUGUUUGAGCACCACCUUGGGUGUAAAGAUUACUUAAUGCUUCACAGACCCUGCUUUUUCACAAAUUGAAGGUUUGUGGCAACCCUGUGUUAACCCAGUCUGUAGGUGCCAUUCUUCCAAGGGCAUUUUGCUGACUUCAUGUCUCUGUGUCACAUUUUGAAACUGCCACAGCUACUCCAACCUUCAGCAAACAUCACCCUGAUCAAUUAGCAGCCAUCAAUAUUGAAGCAAGACCCUCCACCAGCCAAAAAGAUGACUGUGAAAGCUCAGAUGAUGGUUAGCAAUUUUUAGCAAUAAAGCAUUUUUAAUUAA
Long non-coding RNA from Panthera uncia (snow leopard), 677 nucleotides. RefSeq lists it as uncharacterized. The record is from RefSeq and is a predicted model, not a curated record. NCBI's taxonomy places the organism in Eukaryota, Metazoa, Chordata, Mammalia, Carnivora, Felidae. The transcript has 3 exons.